CCGGAGAGGGAGCCUGAGAAACGGCUACCACAUCUACGGAAGGCAGCAGGCGCGAAAAUUGCCCAAUCCUGAUUCAGGGAGGCAGUGACAAGAAAUAACAACUCUCGACUUUGUUGAGAAGUGUAAUGAGGAUAAUUUACAAACCUUACCGAAAGCAAUUGGAGGGCAAGUCUGGUGCCAGCAGCCGCGGUAAUUCCAGCUCCAAAAGCGUAUAUUAAAGUUGUUGCAGUUAAAAAGCUCGUAGUUGAAAUUCUGGCUGUAUUGGGCCUCUGCACUCGAUGCGAAGGAACCAGCAGUCAUCCGCUUGCAAAUACAUGUCCUUCCUUCACCGGUAGGCUGUAUAAGUAAGCACUUUACCUUGAGAAAAACAGAGUGUUCCAGGCAGGUUUGUCCGGAAUGC
RNAcentral lists this ribosomal RNA (400 nucleotides) under uncultured eukaryote. RNAcentral's name for it is "SSU rRNA". It matches the Rfam family "Eukaryotic small subunit ribosomal RNA", at positions 383 to 798 of the family's 1831-position model. The record is from RNAcentral.